Molecule: long non-coding RNA, 282 nt
Filed under: Lathyrus oleraceus (garden pea)
Lineage: Eukaryota; Viridiplantae; Streptophyta; Magnoliopsida; Fabales; Fabaceae
Description: Pisum sativum (pea) long non-coding RNA (PSAT_LNC004480)
Source: RNAcentral
UUUGAUUUUGGUAUGGUGGUCACUGAAUCUUAUUUUGUUUUGUUGCGUGAUGAUUUUCAUUGCCUCUUUUGAUUCUUGUUUUGAUCCCUAACUUUUUGCUGGACCAUUUUUUGAAGCUUUUUAGUCCACUGAGAUUGCCCAUAUUUUUUACCUAAGUUGCCACUUUGGGUGUUUGACUUAGCGGGCUUUUUCUUUGAUGAUUUAUUUUGUAGAGGAUGUGACUUGCAAGUAAUUGGGCAUUGAAAAAUAAGCAACAUAACUUUUGGAUUUUGCAUGGUUCAU